This 387-nucleotide ribosomal RNA is filed under the name uncultured bacterium. RNAcentral describes it as "bacterial SSU rRNA". It matches the Rfam family "Bacterial small subunit ribosomal RNA", at positions 28 to 416 of the family's 1533-position model. The record is from RNAcentral.
GACGAACGCUGGCGGCGUGCUUAACACAUGCAAGUCGAGCGGUAAGGCCCUUUCGGGGGUACACGAGCGGCGAACGGGUGAGUAACACGUGGGUGACCUGCCCUCAGCUCUGGGAUAAGCCUGGGAAACUGGGUCUAAUACCGGAUAUGACUCCAUGACGCAUGUUGUGGGGUGGAAAGCCUUGUGCGGCUGAGGAUGGGCCCGCGGCCUAUCAGCUUGUUGGUGGGGUGAUGGCCUACCAAGGCGACGACGGGUAGCCGGCCUGAGAGGGCGACCGGCCACACUGGGACUGAGACACGGCCCAGACUCCUACGGGAGGCAGCAGUGGGGAAUUUUGGACAAUGGGGGAAACCCUGAUCCAGCCAUGCCGCGUGAGUGAAGAAGGCC